GGUUGUGGCUCAGUGGUAGAGUGCUCACUUCGCACCGGUGCGGCCCUGGAUUCAAUCCUCAGCACUA
This 67-nucleotide transfer RNA is filed under the name Marmota monax (woodchuck). RNAcentral's name for it is "tRNA.Ala". The record is from RNAcentral. Lineage: Eukaryota; Metazoa; Chordata; Mammalia; Rodentia; Sciuridae.